GAUGAACGCUGGCGGCGUGCCUAAUACAUGCAAGUCGAGCGAACGGACGAGAAGCUUGCUUCUCUGAUAUUAGCGGCGGACGGGUGAGUAACACGUGGAUAACCUACCUAUAAGACUGGGAUAACUUCGGGAAACCGUAGCUAAUACCGGAUAAUAUUUUGAACCGCAUGGUUCAACAGUGAAAGACGGUCCUGCUGUCACUUAUAGAUGGAUCCGCGCUGCCUUAGCUAGUUGGUAAGGUAACGGCUUACCAAGGCAACGAUGGUUAGCCGACCUGAGAGCGUGAUCGGCCACACUGGAAGUGAGACACGGUCCAGACUCCUACGGGAGGCAGCAGUAGGGAAUCUUCCGCAAUGGGCGAAAGCCUGACGGAGCAACGCCGCGUGAGUGAUGAAGGUCUGAGGAUCGUAAAACUCUGUUAUUAGGGAAGAACAUAUGUGUAAGUAACUGUGCACAUCUUGACGGUACCUAAUCAGAAAGCCACGGCUAACUACGUG
This 497-nucleotide ribosomal RNA is filed under the name uncultured bacterium. RNAcentral's name for it is "partial 16S ribosomal RNA". It matches the Rfam family "Bacterial small subunit ribosomal RNA", at positions 28 to 507 of the family's 1533-position model. The record is from RNAcentral.